Long non-coding RNA from Suricata suricatta (meerkat), 507 nucleotides. RefSeq lists it as uncharacterized. NCBI's taxonomy places the organism in Eukaryota, Metazoa, Chordata, Mammalia, Carnivora, Herpestidae. The record is from RefSeq and is a predicted model, not a curated record. The transcript has 3 exons.
GAUGUGGAAUGUUAGAAGUGGUCAAGCAGAUGCUUAAGGGCUUUUGGCCCUGGGAGUGGGAGAAGGUGAUAGAGAAAGAAGAGAUGGACUAACUGCUAACAUUUUAUCAAGGAUAUACCCUUUCCUAUUGGACCUGACCAUUUAGGAAUGUGAGCCUGAAGCUGCUAGCAGCCAUCUUUCACCAUGUGAAACCUGAGCAUAAAGACAACACAGCUGACAAGAGAGUGAAAGAUGAAGAAAGCCAGGGUCUAGAGUAUAUAAUAUGAGCACCUGGAUCAAACUGGACCUGAAGUCAGAUAUGUGUCAACUUUAAAGUCAUGAAUAUAUUCAUUCCAGAGAAAACGUCUUAAUCAGAGGAGAGCUAUCAAGAUAAGAGUUUCAGGCACAAAAGCAAGUCAGUUGUGGGACUGUUUGUCAAACGUGGGACCUUGUGAUUUCUUUAAAUCACACUCAUAACUAACAGUCUCCUUGUCAAGGCAUGAGUCCUGGCUUCGAAGGAUAGCUUAU